This 253-nucleotide ribosomal RNA is filed under the name uncultured bacterium. Its description in RNAcentral is "partial 16S ribosomal RNA". It matches the Rfam family "Bacterial small subunit ribosomal RNA", at positions 524 to 776 of the family's 1533-position model. The record is from RNAcentral.
UACGUAGGGUUCGAGCGUUAAUCGGAAUUACUGGGCGUAAAGCGCGCGCAGGCGGUUUUGUAAGUCAGAUGUGAAAUCCCCGGGCUUAACCUGGGAAUGGCAUUUGGGACUGCAAGGCUGGAGUUUGGCAGAGGAGACUGGAAUUCCCGGUGUAGCAGUGAAAUGCGUAGAUAUCGGGAGGAAUACCGAUGGCGAAGGCAGGUCUCUGGGCUAUAACUGACGCUCAUGCACGAAAGCGUGGGGAGCAAACAGG